AUUGAACGCUGGCGGCAUGCCUUACACAUGCAAGUCGAACGGCAGCACGGGUGCUUGCACCUGGUGGCGAGUGGCGAACGGGUGAGUAAUACAUCGGAACGUACCUUAUCGUGGGGGAUAACGCAGCGAAAGUUGUGCUAAUACCGCAUACGCCCUGAGGGGGAAAGCGGGGGGUCGAAAGACCUCGCGCGAUUAGAGCGGCCGAUGCCUGAUUAGCUUGUUGGUGGGGUAAAAGCCCACCAAGGCGACGAUCAGAAGCUGGUCUGAGAGGACGAUCAGCCACACUGGGACUGAGACACGGCCCAGACUCCUACGGGAGGCAGCAGUGGGGAAUUUUGGACAAUGGGGGCAACCCUGAUCCAGCAAUGCCGCGUGAGUGAAGAAGGCCUUCGGGUUGUAAAGCUCUUUUGUCAGGGAAGAAACACCGGCUCUAACACAGUCCGGGAAUGACGGUACCUGAAGAAUAAGCACCGGCUAACUACGUGCCAGCCGCCGCAGUAA
Molecule: ribosomal RNA, 501 nt
Filed under: uncultured bacterium
Lineage: Bacteria
Description: partial 16S ribosomal RNA
Rfam family: Bacterial small subunit ribosomal RNA
Source: RNAcentral